This is an unclassified non-coding RNA of Papio anubis (olive baboon), 117 nucleotides long. It matches the Rfam family "Metazoan signal recognition particle RNA". From Rfam's summary of the family: The signal recognition particle (SRP) is a universally conserved ribonucleoprotein. It is involved in the co-translational targeting of proteins to membranes. The eukaryotic SRP consists of a 300-nucleotide 7S RNA and six proteins: SRPs 72, 68, 54, 19, 14, and 9. NCBI's taxonomy places the organism in Eukaryota, Metazoa, Chordata, Mammalia, Primates, Cercopithecidae. The record is from Ensembl.
GCCGGGCAUGCUGGCUCAUGCCUGUAAUCCUAGCACUUUGGGAGGCUGAGGUGGGUGGAUCACUUGAGGCCAGGACUUCCAAACCAGCCUGGUCAACAUGGUGAAACCCCAUCUCUA